AGAGUUUGAUCCUGGCUCAGGAUGAACGCUGGCGGCAUGCCUAAUACAUGCAAGUCGAACGGAGAAGCCUAACAGAAGAUGCUUGCAUCGGAAGAUAGAUACUUCUCAGUGGCGAACGGGUGAGUAACACGUAGGUAACCUGCCCAUGUGCCCGGGAUAAUUUCUGGAAACGGAAACUAAAACCGGAUAGGUAAUAGAGAAGCAUUUCUGUAUUAUUAAAGAAGCCUCAAAGCUUUGAACAUGGAUGGACCUGCGGUGCAUUAGCUAGUUGGUAAGGUAACGGCCUACCAAGGCGACGAUGCAUAGCCGACCUGAGAGGGCGAACGGCCACAUUGGGACUGAGACACGGCCCAAACUCCUACGGGAGGCAGCAGUAGGGAAUUUUCGUCAAUGGGGGGAACCCUGAACGAGCAAUGCCGCGUGAGUGAAGACGGUCUUCGGAUUGUAAAGCUCUGUUGUGAGAGAAAAAGGAUAUAUAUAGGAAAUGAUAUGUAUUUGAUGGUAUCUCACCAGAAAGUCACGGCUAACUACGUGCCAGCAGCCGCGGUAAUACGUAGGUGGCGAGCGUUAUCCGGAAUGAUUGGGCGUAAAGGGUACGUAGGCGGCAUGAUAAGUCUGGAGUGAAAGGCUACAGCUCAACUGUAGUAUGCUCUGGAAACUGUCAAGCUAGAGUGCAGAAGAGGGCAAUGGAACUCCAUGUGUAGCGGUAAAAUGCGUAGAUAUAUGGAAGAACACCGGUGGCGAAGGCGGUUGCCUGGUCUGAAACUGACGCUGAAGUACGAAAGCGUGGGGAGCAAAUAGGAUUAGAUACCCUGGUAGU
This 820-nucleotide ribosomal RNA is filed under the name uncultured bacterium. RNAcentral describes it as "bacterial SSU rRNA". It matches the Rfam family "Bacterial small subunit ribosomal RNA", at positions 8 to 794 of the family's 1533-position model. The record is from RNAcentral.